CCUACGGGUGGCAGCAGUGGGGAAUAUUGCACAAUGGGCGAAACCCUGAUGCAGCGACGCCGCGUGAAGGAUGAAGGAUUUCGGUAUGUAAACUUCUAUCAGCAGGGAAGAAAAUGACGGUACCUGACUAAGAAGCCCCGGCUAACUACGUGCCAGCAGCCGCGGUAAUACGUAGGGGGCAAGCGUUAUCCGGAUUUACUGGGUGUAAAGGGAGAGGAGACGGUAUGGGAAGUCUGAUGUGAAAACCCGGGGCUCAACCCCGGGACUGCAUUGGAAACUGCCGAACUAGAGUGUCGGAGAGGCGAGUGGAAUUCCUAGUGUAGCGGUGAAAUGCGUAGAUAUUAGGAGGAACACCAGUGGCGAAGGCGGCUUGCUGGACGGUGACUGACGUUGAGGCUCGAAAGCGUGGGGAGCAAACAGGAUUAGAUACCCUAGUAGUC
This 440-nucleotide ribosomal RNA is filed under the name uncultured bacterium. RNAcentral describes it as "partial 16S ribosomal RNA". It matches the Rfam family "Bacterial small subunit ribosomal RNA", at positions 338 to 795 of the family's 1533-position model. The record is from RNAcentral.